GAUAAACGCUGGCGGCGUGCUUAACACAUGCAAGUCGAACGGAGUAUUUCUCCCGAGACCGAGGAAGCUUGCUUCCAAAGAAUCAUUUGAAAUACUUAGUGGCGGACGGGUGAGUAACGCGUGGGUAACCUGCCCUUAAGAGGAGGAUAACAGUGAGAAAUCAUUGCUAAUACACCAUAUGCUUACGGAGUCGCAUGACUCAGUGAGGAAAGGAAUUUCGCUUAAGGAUGGAUCCGCGUUUGAUUAGCCAGUUGGCAGGGUAACGGCCUACCAAAGCGACGAUCAAUAGCCGGCCUGAGAGGGUGAACGGCCACAUUGGAACUGAGACACGGUCCAAACUCC
RNAcentral lists this ribosomal RNA (342 nucleotides) under uncultured Lachnospiraceae bacterium. RNAcentral's name for it is "bacterial SSU rRNA". It matches the Rfam family "Bacterial small subunit ribosomal RNA", at positions 28 to 339 of the family's 1533-position model. The record is from RNAcentral. Lineage: Bacteria; Bacillati; Bacillota; Clostridia; Lachnospirales; Lachnospiraceae.